GAUGAACGCUAGCGGGAGGCCUAACACAUGCAAGCCGAGCGGUAGAGUUUCUUCGGAAACUUGAGAGCGGCGCACGGGUGCGUAACACGUGUGCAACCUACCUUUAUCUGGGGGAUAGCCUUUCGAAAGGAAGAUUAAUACCCCAUAAUAUAAUGAUUGGCAUCAAUUAUUAUUGAAAACUCCGGUGGAUAGGGAUGGGCACGCGCAAGAUUAGAUAGUUGGUGAGGUAACGGCUCACCAAGUCAAUGAUCUUUAGGGGUCCUGAGAGGGAGAUCCCCCACACUGGUACUGAGACACGGACCAGACUCCUACGGGAGGCAGCAGUGAGGAAUAUUGAACAAUGGGUGAGAGCCUGAUCCAGCCAUCCCGCGUGAAGGAUGACGGUCCUAUGGAUUGUAAACUUCUUUUGUACAGGGAUAAACCUACCCUCGUGAGGGUAGCUGAAGGUACUGUACGAAUAAGCACCGGCUAACUCCGUG
This 479-nucleotide ribosomal RNA is filed under the name uncultured bacterium. Its description in RNAcentral is "partial 16S ribosomal RNA". It matches the Rfam family "Bacterial small subunit ribosomal RNA", at positions 28 to 507 of the family's 1533-position model. The record is from RNAcentral.